Non-coding RNA from Pimephales promelas (fathead minnow), 129 nucleotides. Lineage: Eukaryota; Metazoa; Chordata; Actinopteri; Cypriniformes; Leuciscidae. The record is from RefSeq and is a predicted model, not a curated record.
CAGAGUUUCACAUCUCUCCUGCUGAUCUGUGAGCAACAUUUAAGAUGCGUGAAUGCACUGCCCACUCUAACCAGUGUUGGUUGUUUGUCUCAGACACCAUUGGAGAAGAACGAAGCAGACAGAGGACAC